RNAcentral lists this ribosomal RNA (588 nucleotides) under uncultured bacterium. RNAcentral describes it as "partial 16S ribosomal RNA". It matches the Rfam family "Bacterial small subunit ribosomal RNA", at positions 355 to 1375 of the family's 1533-position model. The record is from RNAcentral.
UGGGGAAUUUUGGACAAUGGGCGAAAGCCUGAUCCAGCAAUGCCGCGUGUGUGAAGAAGGCCUUCGGGUUGUAAAGCACUUUUGUCCGGAAAGAAAUCCUUGGCUCUAAUACAGUCGGGGGAUGACGGUACCGGAAGAAUAAGCACCGGCUAACUACGUGCCAGCAGCCGCGGUAAUACGUAGGGUGCAAGCGUUAAUCGGAAUUACUGGGCGUAAAGCGUGCGCAGGCGGUUUGCUAAGACCGAUGUGAAGUCCCCGGGCUCAACCUGGGAACUGCAUUGGUGACUGGCAGGCUAGAGUAUGGCAGAGGGGGGUAGAAUUCCACGUGUAGCAGUGAAAUGCGUAGAGAUGUGGAGGAAUACCGAUGGCGAAGGCAGCCCCCUGGGCCAAUACUGACACUCAUGCACGAAAAGCGUGGGGAGCAAAACAGGAUUAGAUACCCUGGUAGUCCACGCCCUAAACGAUGUCAACUAGUUGUUGGGGAUUCAUUUCCUUAGUAAACGUAGCUAACGCGUGAAGUUGACCGCCUGGGGAGUACGGUCGCAAGAUUAAAACUCAAAUGAAUUGACGGGGUCAUAGCUGUUUCCU